This 253-nucleotide ribosomal RNA is filed under the name uncultured bacterium. RNAcentral's name for it is "partial 16S ribosomal RNA". It matches the Rfam family "Bacterial small subunit ribosomal RNA", at positions 524 to 776 of the family's 1533-position model. The record is from RNAcentral.
UACGUAGGGGGCAAGCGUUAUCCGGAUUUACUGGGUGUAAAGGGAGCGUAGACGGCCAGACAGGUCUGAAGUGAAAAUCCAGCGCUUAACGUUGGAAGUGCUUUGGAAGCUGCCGGGCUAGAGUGCAGGAGGGGCAGGCGGAAUUCCUAGUGUAGCGGUGAAAUGCGUAGAUAUUAGGAGGAACACCAGUGGCGAAGGCGGCCUGCUGGACUGCAACUGACGUUGAGGCUCGAAGGCGUGGGGAGCAAACAGG